CAUUACCUCCUAAAGCAGGCAGCAAUCAGACGGAGACGCGUGCCGCUGUGCGCUAGUGGCUGUAGCAAUCACCUUACACUACUGCUAUACCUAUACCUAGAUAGGAGCGGCGGCCAGACCAUCGCGCGGCCAUGGUGGCCUGCUGGCACCAGCAGCUAGGGCUGCUCGUCGCGGCGGCGGCGGCGCUGCUCAUGACGCAGCUGCUGCUGGUGUCUGCGAUGUCGGACGUGCCCGGUGCCAUCACCUUCGACGACGGCUUCACGCCGCUCUUCGGGGAGGCCAACAUGGAGCGCUCCCCCGACGGCCGCACCGUCAGCCUCACGCUCAACCGCUACUCCGGCGCAGGCUUCAUCUCCUCCCACUACUACCACCACGGGUUCUUCAGCGCAGACAUCAGGCUGCCAAAGGACCACACCGCCGGCGUAGUCGUCGCAUUCUACCUGUCCAACGGCGACGUCUUCGAGAAGAACCACGACGAGCUUGACUUCGAGUUCCUUGGCAACCGGCGGCGGCACGAGUGGCGGCUGCAGACGAACGUGUACGGCAACGGCAGCACCGACCGUGGCCGCGAGGAGCGGUACCUGAUGCCCUUCGACCCGACCCUGGAGGCGCACCGCUUCUCCAUCCUCUGGUCCUCCCGCGUGGUCAUCUUCUACGUGGACGGCGUGGCGGUCCGCGAGGUGCCCCGCUCCGGCGCCAUGGGCGGCGACUACCCGUCCAAGCCCAUGGCGCUCUACGCCACCAUCUGGGACGGCUCCACCUGGGCCACCGACAACGGCCGCUACAAGGUCAACUACAAGCGCGGGCCCUUCACGGCCGACUUCUCCGACCUCGUGCUCCGCGGCUGCCCGGCCGCCGCCGCCAGGCGCGACGACCCAGCGGCGCUGCAGCUCCAGCAGCUGGGCUCGGACGAGGACGACCGGUGCGCGGGCUCCGAGUUCGAGCUGAUGACGGCGGAGUACGCCAUCAUGACGCCGCGGAAGCGGAUGGAGAUGCGGCGGUGGCGGCAGCGGCAGAUGCUCUACACGGUGUGCUACGACACCAACCGGUACCCGGCGCCGUUCCCCGAGUGCGACGUCAACAUGGAGGAGCGCCAGAAGUUCUGGGAGUGGGGCGAGUCCAAGGUGGUGCGGCCCCGCGUCCGCGCCAGCUCCGGCAGCAGGCGGCGCGCCGCCACAGCAACGACGCAGCAGGUGUCGCUGCAGCAGGCCGACUGAUGAUUGCAUUCUGGCCUGACCUGAUCUGUGAAGGCACACCACUAAAUAUUUUAAUGAACUCCAUCGAUUUUGGAUCUUUCCAGCACUCUUUAGAGUUGGGGAAGGUGAACCUCCCCCUCUUGGGAUCCGGUUGCAACUCCAAAAGAAGGCUCCAAGGUCAAUACUCAAUGCUGCUAGAAAGGCAUAGGACAAGGCCAUGGUUUGAGUAUAAGAGGAUUUAUCAUGCUAUUUUGUCCUGCAUCAUCAUAAGUUACCUACCUAUUGGAUUUUGAGAAUAAGCCUUAUCAGUUUUGUUUAUUUGUUGCUUUGGCAAUCUUUCAAACAUAACUCAAUAGGUCUCUUAUGUAAAGACUCGCACCUGGGUAUUUCUUUUCA
Panicum hallii is the source of this 1592-nucleotide RNA transcript. It is a transcript of the gene named probable xyloglucan endotransglucosylase/hydrolase protein 30, with no coding region annotated. The transcript has 4 exons. NCBI's taxonomy places the organism in Eukaryota, Viridiplantae, Streptophyta, Magnoliopsida, Poales, Poaceae. The record is from RefSeq and is a predicted model, not a curated record.